UAGGAUAGGUGGGAGGCUUUGAAGAUGGGACGCUAGUCUCAUUGGAGCCAAUCUUGAAAUACCACCCUGGUAUGUUUGAGGUUCUAACUCAGGUCCAUUAUCUGGAUCGAGGACACUGUGUGGUGGGUAGUUUGACUGGGGCGGUCUCCUCCCAAAGAGUAACGGAGGAGCACGAAGGUGUGCUCAGCAUGGUCGGAAAUCAUGCGUAGAGUGUAAAGGCAAAAGCACGCUUAACUGCGAGACAGACACGUCGAGCAGGUACGAAAGUAGGUCUUAGUGAUCCGGUGGUUCUGUAUGGAAGGGCCAUCGCUCAACGGAUAAAAGGUACUCCGGGGAUAACAGGCUGAUACCGCCCAAGAGUUCACAUCGACGGCGGUGUUUGGCACCUCGAUGUCGGCUCAUCACAUCCUGGGGCUGAAGCCGGUCCCAAGGGUAUGGCUGUUCGCCAUUUAAAGUGGUACGCGAGCUGGGUUUAGAACGUCGUGAGACAGUUCGGUCCCUAUCUGCCGUGGACGUUUGAGAUUUGAGAGGAGCUGCUCCUAGUACGAGAGGACCGGAGUGGACGAACCUCUGGUGUUCCGGUUGUCACGCCAGUGGCAUUGCCGGGUAGCUACGUUCGGACGGGAUAACCGCUGAAAGCAUCUAAGCGGGAAGCCUCCCUCAAGAUAAGAUCUCACUGGGACAUAAGUCCCCUAAAGAGCCGUUCGAGACUAGGACGUUGAUAGGUUGGGUGUGUAAGUGCUGUGAGGCAUUGAGCUAACCAAUACUAAUUGCUCGUGAGGCUUGACCAU
RNAcentral lists this non-coding RNA (791 nucleotides) under Marinomonas ushuaiensis DSM 15871. RNAcentral's name for it is "Bacterial large subunit ribosomal RNA". It matches the Rfam family "Bacterial large subunit ribosomal RNA", at positions 2139 to 2925 of the family's 2925-position model. Lineage: Bacteria; Pseudomonadati; Pseudomonadota; Gammaproteobacteria; Oceanospirillales; Oceanospirillaceae. The record is from Rfam by way of RNAcentral.